UGGUUAAAGCGCCUGUCUCGUAAACAGGAGAUCCUGGGUUCGACUCCCAGUAGGGCCUGGCGUUUUCUCGGGAGCUCUCGCC
This 82-nucleotide microRNA precursor is filed under the name Mustela putorius furo (domestic ferret). RNAcentral describes it as "miRNA (ENSMPUG00000021669.1)". The stretch from base 1 to 58 matches the Rfam family "tRNA", at positions 16 to 71 of the family's 71-position model. Rfam says of the family: Transfer RNA (tRNA) molecules are approximately 80 nucleotides in length. The record is from RNAcentral. Lineage: Eukaryota; Metazoa; Chordata; Mammalia; Carnivora; Mustelidae.